GGCAAUGGAACGUUGCCUUCGGGGUAUACCUCCCACCCUUUGUUUAUUAUACCUUUGUUGCUUUGGCGGGCCCGUCCUCGGACCACCGGCUUCGGCUGGUCAGCGCCCGCCAGAGGACCUAAAACUCUGUUUGUUCAUAUUGUCUGAGUACUAUAUAAUAGUUAAAACUUUCAACAACGGAUCUCUUGGUUCUGGCAUCGAUGAAGAACGCAGCGAAAUGCGAUAAGUAAUGUGAAUUGCAGAAUUCAGUGAAUCAUCGAAUCUUUGAACGCACAUUGCGCCCCCUGGUAUUCCGGGGGGCAUGCCUGUUCGAGCGUCAUUACAACCCUCAAGCUCUGCUUGGUAUUGGGCUCUGCCGGUCCCGGCAGGCCUUAAAAUCAGUGGCGGUGCCAUUCGGCUUCAAGCGUAGUAAUUCUUCUCGCUUUGGAGGCCCGGGUGCGUGCUUGCCAGCAACCCCCAAUUUUUUCAGGUUGACCUCGGAUCAGGUAGGGAUACCCGCUGAACUUAAGCAUAUCAAAA
Molecule: ribosomal RNA, 519 nt
Filed under: fungal sp. TZ-2015b
Lineage: Eukaryota; Fungi
Description: eukaryotic LSU rRNA
Rfam family: 5.8S ribosomal RNA (bases 166-319)
Source: RNAcentral